CUUGGGAUGUCUAUCCUCAGCUCCUUCUGCUUCCCUAUGUCUCCAGGACUCUGACCUCCCUUGAAGGCUGCACCAUCAGAAGGGAAAAGAGACGCAGACCUUGGAAAAUUCUGUGUGUGGCAGCUUGGUCAUCUGAGAACAGGUGUUUGUUUAAUUGUCUUUCCUGCUACUCGGGAAGUUCGGUGACGUCUAUCCCACCCUCUUCGUCUCUCCAGUGCCCAUGAAGGUGACGAGAUGAACCCAUAUUACAAACGCCAUGCUGUGCAAAACAAUCCAGAAACAAGAGUCUACACUGUAAUGCUACCUACAGACACAGUCGUUCUAUGGUGGAACAAGAACUGUUUUGAGACACUCCUCAGCAGGCCUCUGUAGGUCUCUGCGCCCAGCACAGAGCAGCCUAACAUGUGAGACCCCGCCCCAAGAGCGGGUCUCCAUGUAAGAGACACAUCCUGCCACGAAUCUAGCUUCCUGCCAGUGCCACAGUCUGGAGCCGAUUAUCACUGCUCAUCACUGCUCCACGUGUGUUG
Cervus elaphus (red deer) is the source of this 527-nucleotide long non-coding RNA. RefSeq lists it as uncharacterized. The record is from RefSeq and is a predicted model, not a curated record. The transcript is spliced from 4 exons. Lineage: Eukaryota; Metazoa; Chordata; Mammalia; Artiodactyla; Cervidae.